This 84-nucleotide transfer RNA is filed under the name Thermoleophilia bacterium. Its description in RNAcentral is "tRNA-Leu". It matches the Rfam family "tRNA". Rfam says of the family: Transfer RNA (tRNA) molecules are approximately 80 nucleotides in length. RNAcentral also lists the same sequence under 4 other names. Lineage: Bacteria; Bacillati; Actinomycetota; Thermoleophilia. The record is from RNAcentral.
GCGGAUGUGGCGGAAUUGGUAGACGCGCACGGUUCAGGUCCGUGUGGCCGUAAGGUCGUGGAGGUUCAAGUCCUCUCAUCCGCA